This is a long non-coding RNA of Lucilia cuprina (Australian sheep blowfly), 413 nucleotides long. RefSeq lists it as uncharacterized. The record is from RefSeq and is a predicted model, not a curated record. Lineage: Eukaryota; Metazoa; Arthropoda; Insecta; Diptera; Calliphoridae. The transcript is spliced from 3 exons.
UUGGAUUUUUGUUUUUAUUUGUUGCAAAUCCAAUUCCACGUUGCUGAUUUUGCAAUUAAUAUUUUACCGGUGGGUUUUAGUUAGUACAUAAAUUGAAUGUUGUCAAAUUAAAUCUGCAAGAAAGAUAAUAGGACUAAUCCUAUAUACCAACACCUUGUUAUUAAGAUUCAAUCUAAAAGAAAAAUACCUAAUUCCUUCAACAGGCAACAACAUUUUAGGUAUCUGGAUUUUCAACAAAAUUAGGCAAAAAAUUUCAUACUACAGUAAAACCUGUUUAUAACGAACUCCUUAGGACCAUUCAAAUUUGUUAUAAGCGAUGUUCCUAAUAAGACGCGUUUUGUUGUUCAAAAAUAAAGUGAUAAUUUACGAAAUUAAAAAAAUAUAUGAAUUACAUAUGUAUGUACACUGAAAAU